ACUGCGGCAGCUGAAAGAGAAAAAGAUACUUCCAUCGAAACUCAGGUUCAGGAUGGAGGUAAAACAGAAGUGGCAGAUCAGACUGGGCAUGCUGACACCAAGAUGGAUGAAGCUGGUACAGAUGUUAAGGUACCAGAAACUGCAGAGGCUGGCAAAAAAGAAGAGGCUGCUGGUACUGAAGAAACCCCGACUGCAAUGGAGGUUCAAGAGAAACCUGCAGAAGCUAGUUGCACAGAUGGGACUCAAACUGCAAAAGAAGGGGAAGCCCCUACUGAAAAGGUGCCACAAACUCAGGCAGAGGAGAAUGGUACAUGUGAGAAACAACCAGAAAACCCUGAAACUGUGACAUUGGAAGCUAACGGGGGAGUAGAGAAAGAGAAUCCAAAUGGAGCAGUCCCUGUAUCUGAGGGAGAAGCCAAAGAGACACAAGGUUUACAGGAGGUGGCUGGCAAGUGUAGUGUUGAGGUCGAGGACAAAGGCAAGGCAGUAGAUGGGGAGGUGAUUGAAAAUGGUAAGGUUAAAGAAGGUGGGAAAGCUGAUACCCCACAACCUACAGGAUCUGCUCCUGCAAGCAACUAAUAUGACCACCAGUAUCCUAGCCACCCUGUGGUAUUCUAGUUUAUUGUAUUUGCCUGUAACCUCUAUGAUGAUUCCAUGGAUGACUGUAACAUUAAUGAUGUUUCUGCU
RNAcentral lists this long non-coding RNA (687 nucleotides) under Gossypium barbadense (sea-island cotton). RNAcentral's name for it is "long non-coding RNA (GBAR_LNC019716)". Lineage: Eukaryota; Viridiplantae; Streptophyta; Magnoliopsida; Malvales; Malvaceae. The record is from RNAcentral.